Long non-coding RNA from Nicotiana tabacum (common tobacco), 915 nucleotides. RefSeq lists it as uncharacterized. NCBI's taxonomy places the organism in Eukaryota, Viridiplantae, Streptophyta, Magnoliopsida, Solanales, Solanaceae. The record is from RefSeq and is a predicted model, not a curated record.
CUCUCAUUUUCGUUCCAUUCCCAUUUUCACAUUUCCUCUCCUCCUCUUUCUACUCCACUCUUUCAGUGAAGCUUUUCGCUUUGUUUAGUUCUGCUGACCCAAAGGCCAAGAAAGCCGACUCCUUUGACACUAAGUCAUUGAAAUUCCAUAGCUAGAGAUGAAAAACUUCUGGUGAUGUUACUCCUGAUAUUUUGAGUUCGUCCGAUGACGACGGUGCUGCAGAGAUUCUCUGAGACAAAAGUGCAAGGUAGAUUUAUUGGCUUCGUGGAGCCCAGACGUUCUGAAAUUGCAGCAGCACUGUCAAUGUCUAAUUUAGUCUUCCAGGGAAAAACGAGCAAAAAAUUUAUUAAAAGAGCUCACAAGACACCUCUACUCAUGAGAAGAUUUCUUCUUUAGAACUGUUGCUUUUCUGUGGAAUUAUCAGCUAUAUGAACUACUCUUGUGUUUUCAUAGACAAUAUCUCUGAACCUUACUCGGAAUAAGCUGUUGCAACAUUGGAGGCUGUAUGGUUCUUGGGUGGGCCAUGAACUAUUGAGCUUUUGAUCUGCUUGGAAGUCAAUAGAGCUAGAAAAUGGAGAAGAAGUAAAAUUGGUGUACAAGAAGAGCCUUCCUCAUCCAUGGAAGAGACGGAGGAUUUUGAAUUACUUUGAUAACUGAGAGGGCAUUGUUUCUCUCUUUGUUAGUGGGAAGGGAUAGAGCUCUGGUUGAAGGUACUCUAGCAAAGGAGAAAAAGUUCUACCUUAUCCUAAAAAGCUUUCAUCACAUUUAUUUGAGAUUUCAAACAGAUGACGGUUUCAGAUUGACAGAACACAGUGUUGCAUUAACUUUAGAAGAUAUAUUUGGUUUUUAAACUUUCAAAUUUUGUGUAAUUAUAACUUACUAAUGGUACAUGAAAUAAUUUUUUAUAUCAUGCAA